AUUGAACGCUGGCGGCAUGCCUUACACAUGCAAGUCGAACGGCAGCACGGGUGCUUGCACCUGGUGGCGAGUGGCGAACGGGUGAGUAAUACAUCGGAACAUGUCCUGUAGUGGGGGAUAGCCCGGCGAAAGCCGGAUUAAUACCGCAUACGAUCUACGGAUGAAAGCGGGGGACCUUCGGGCCUCGCGCUAUAGGGUUGGCCGAUGGCUGAUUAGCUAGUUGGUGGGGUAAAGGCCUACCAAGGCGACGAUCAGUAGCUGGUCUGAGAGGACGACAGCCACACUGGGACUGAGACACGGCCCAGACUCCUACGGGAGGCAGCAGUGGGGAAUUUUGGACAAUGGGCGAAAGCCUGAUCCAGCAAUGCCGCGUGUGUGAAGAAGGCCUUCGGGUUGUAAAGCACUUUUGUCCGGAAAGAAAUCCUUGGCCCUAAUACGGUCGGGGGAUGACGGUACCGGAAGAAUAAGCACCGGCUAACUACGUG
This 485-nucleotide ribosomal RNA is filed under the name uncultured bacterium. RNAcentral's name for it is "partial 16S ribosomal RNA". It matches the Rfam family "Bacterial small subunit ribosomal RNA", at positions 30 to 507 of the family's 1533-position model. The record is from RNAcentral.